UUUUGGGAUAAUGUAACAAAUUAUUUGAAUCUUCUUUGCUGCCAGAUUUAUUAGAAUAUCUUGAAUAUUAAUUUCAAGGUCAUGAAUUUCUGGAAGACCAAGACAUUGUUAUUUUAUUAUACUUCUUCUGUUGUAGCAUGGAGAAGUCUUUUGAGAUUGAUCAACUGAAUAAUGACAAAAAUAUAACCGUUGCUCUGAGCAAACAGUCUGAAGAAGUGAGUUAUUUGCUUUAGCUCAGAAUAUUGUAUGGUUACGCAAAAUGCAAUGAUGCUUUUUAACUUUUACUUUAUAAACCAUUUAGAUGUUGAGUUCAAAUUCAGAGAUGUGCGGAAUUCCUCAAUGUGAGGAAGUGAAUGUGCUUCGGAAGGAGCUCAGUUUUCUGAGUAAAGAAAGAGAUGGUUUGUUGACUCGAAUAAAAGAGUAGUCAUAACUUUCAAAUGACUACCAGGUAUUAUCUCCACUCUGUUGUCUACGCACCAGGAUAUAAUGGUCAGGGAGAAAAAUUCAGUAGUAUUGGGGAAGGAACCAACAUUAUUUCUUCAGAACUUAUUCCAUUUGUUUGAUGGAUUGCAUGUUGUCUACAGAGUCUGAACAACCAGCUCCUUGCUAUGUCAAAGGAAAAGGAUAUAUUAGUGACUCAGAUCCAAGAGCAGAAGAAACAUGCAAUUGAAGAAGAAAGUCUCAAUAAACGUUACAAUGACUUGUUAAUGGAGGCAAAGUUUCAAGUAGGAACUGACAAGGAGAAUUUCAAGCAUGGAGCUUAAGAUUCACAAAAGAUCAAGUUUAAAGGUUAUAGAGAAAGCUAAGCUUCGAAUGAGGCUUCCAGGGGGCACAAGCAAGGUUAGAUGCCUUUCGAAGUAGAUACAAGGAAACACGGGACAAGUCCGAUCACAUGAACAGAAAGUUUGAGGAGGCUUCAAAAAACCUAAAGGACCAGUUGGCGACAAAAGGGAGUCGAGGUCCUCAGCCUGAAGAAGCAGCUUGCUGCAGAGGGGUUAUGAACAAAAAUUUAUUAAGAAGUUGUAGAGCAUGAUUAUGUCUUGUGUACUAUUUAAUGAAAAUAUAAAAGUUAGUACGAAUGAGUGUCUUGUGCAGAGCUAUGAACCAUGACAAUUUAACGUACUACAAU
Prunus dulcis (almond) is the source of this 1129-nucleotide long non-coding RNA. RefSeq lists it as uncharacterized. Lineage: Eukaryota; Viridiplantae; Streptophyta; Magnoliopsida; Rosales; Rosaceae. The record is from RefSeq and is a predicted model, not a curated record. The transcript has 3 exons.